RNAcentral lists this ribosomal RNA (447 nucleotides) under uncultured bacterium. RNAcentral's name for it is "bacterial SSU rRNA". It matches the Rfam family "Bacterial small subunit ribosomal RNA", at positions 355 to 825 of the family's 1533-position model. The record is from RNAcentral.
UCGGGAAUUUUGGGCAAUGGGCGAAAGCCUGACCCAGCAACGCCGCGUGAAGGAUGAAGUAUUUCGGUAUGUAAACUUCGUAAGAAUAGGAAGAAUAAAUGACGGUACUAUUUGUAAGGUCCGGCUAACUACGUGCCAGCAGCCGCGGUAAUACGUAGGGACCAAGCGUUGUUCGGAUUUACUGGGCGUAAAGGGCGCGUAGGCGGCAAUUCAAGUCAUCUGUGAAAUCUCUGGGCUUAACCCAGAACGGCCAAGUGAUACUGUCGCGCUAGAGUGCAGAAGGGGCAAUCGGAAUUCUUGGUGUAGCGGUGAAAUGCGUAGAUAUCAAGAGGAACACCUGAGGUGAAGACGGGUUGCUGGGCUGACACUGACGCUGAGGCGCGAAAGCCAGGGGAGCAAACGGGAUUAGAUACCCUUGUAGUCCCUGAGCGGGCUGGCAAGGCGCAU